This is a long non-coding RNA of Arabidopsis thaliana (thale cress), 273 nucleotides long. RefSeq annotates it as other RNA. The record is from RefSeq. NCBI's taxonomy places the organism in Eukaryota, Viridiplantae, Streptophyta, Magnoliopsida, Brassicales, Brassicaceae. The transcript has a single exon.
AAGAGUGUUUGUCCCUACCACAAAGCAACAAGAAAGGAUUAUAAGAGAGGAGUCACGGGCACUGAAAGACAACAUCAAAUUCAUAGAAUAAAAAGCCACCUUAAUUAGUUAGUUGUGCACGAAACUAUUCACAACACAAAAUUUAAAUGUGCACCUCUCAGUGGACUCUCAUCAUUCAUCACUCGUCACCAAUUCGCCGUUGCAAUAUUUUAUCUUCACUUCCACAUUUCAUAAAUAGUUUUUGUUGGUGGCAGCAUGCGACUUUGGUACGCA